This 239-nucleotide ribosomal RNA is filed under the name Salmonella enterica. RNAcentral describes it as "partial 16S ribosomal RNA". It matches the Rfam family "Bacterial small subunit ribosomal RNA", at positions 1 to 236 of the family's 1533-position model. RNAcentral also lists the same sequence under 1 other name. Lineage: Bacteria; Pseudomonadati; Pseudomonadota; Gammaproteobacteria; Enterobacterales; Enterobacteriaceae. The record is from RNAcentral.
AAAUUGAAGAGUUUGAUCAUGGCUCAGAUUGAACGCUGGCGGCAGGCCUAACACAUGCAAGUCGAACGGUAACAGGAAGCAGCUUGCUGCUUCGCUGACGAGUGGCGGACGGGUGAGUAAUGUCUGGGAAACUGCCUGAUGGAGGGGGAUAACUACUGGAAACGGUGGCUAAUACCGCAUAAUGUCGCAGGACCAAAGAGGGGGACCUUCGGGCCUCUUGCCAUCAGAUGUGCCCAGAU